RNAcentral lists this non-coding RNA (122 nucleotides) under Paenibacillus tuaregi. RNAcentral's name for it is "SAM riboswitch (S box leader)". It matches the Rfam family "SAM riboswitch aptamer (S box leader)". From Rfam's summary of the family: The SAM riboswitch is found upstream of a number of genes which code for proteins involved in methionine or cysteine biosynthesis in Gram-positive bacteria. The record is from RNAcentral. Lineage: Bacteria; Bacillati; Bacillota; Bacilli; Caryophanales; Paenibacillaceae.
UCUUAUCAAGAGUAGGUGGAGGGACCAGCCCAAUGAAACCCGGCAACCGGCGAGCAAUCGCACGGUGCUAAUUCUUGCAGAACUUCAGGCAGCCGCAAGGCCCUGAGUCUCUGAGAGAUGAG